AUUUAACGCUGUCUGCAGUCCUAACACAUGCAAGUCGAACGAGUGGCGGACGGGUGAGUAAUGUCUGGGAAACUGCCCGAUGGAGGGGGAUAACUACUUUAAACGGUAGCUAAUACCUCAUACCAUCGUAUUUACCCAGAUGGGCUUAGCUUGUAUGUGAGGUAACGGCUCACCUAGGCGACUAUCCCUAGCUGGUCUGAGAGGAUGACCAGCCACACUGGAACUGAGACACGGUCCAGAUUCCUACGGUAGGCAGCAGUGGGGAAUAUUGCACAAUGGGCGCAAGCCUGAUGCAGCCAUGCCGCGUGUAUGAAGAAGGCCUUCGGGUUGUAAAGUACGGUCAGCGGGGAGGCGUUACCCGCAGAAGAAGCACCGGCUAACUCCGUGCCAGCAGCCGCGGUAAUUC
RNAcentral lists this ribosomal RNA (406 nucleotides) under uncultured bacterium. RNAcentral describes it as "partial 16S ribosomal RNA". It matches the Rfam family "Bacterial small subunit ribosomal RNA", at positions 32 to 526 of the family's 1533-position model. The record is from RNAcentral.